ACUCAAAUGAAUUGACGGGGGCCCGCACAAGCAGCGGAGCGUGUGGUUUAAUUCGAGGCUACACGAAAAACCUUACCUGGGUUUGACAUCCCACGAACGACGGUGAAAGCCGAAGGUCCUUCGGGACGUGGAGACAGGUGCUGCAUGGCUGUCGUCAGCUCGUGUCGUGAGAUGUUCGGUUAAGUCCGAAAACGAGCGCAACCCUCGGUGCAUGUUACAGGUGUCAUGCACAACUGCCGGCGGCAAGCCGGAGGAAGGUGGGGAUGACGUCAAGUCAGCAUGGCCUUUAUAUCCAGGGCUACACACACGCUACAAUGGGCGGUACAAUGGGUCGCGAAGCCGCGAGGUGGAGCCAAUCCUGAAAAGCCGUUCGUAGUUCGGAUUGCAGGCUGCAACUCGCCUGCAUGAAGCUGGAGUUGCUAGUAACCGUAUAUCAGCAUGAUACGGUGAAUACGUUCCCGGGCCUUGUACACACCGCCCGU
RNAcentral lists this ribosomal RNA (482 nucleotides) under uncultured bacterium. RNAcentral describes it as "partial 16S ribosomal RNA". It matches the Rfam family "Bacterial small subunit ribosomal RNA", at positions 899 to 1397 of the family's 1533-position model. The record is from RNAcentral.